This is a long non-coding RNA of Mytilus californianus (California mussel), 734 nucleotides long. RefSeq lists it as uncharacterized. NCBI's taxonomy places the organism in Eukaryota, Metazoa, Mollusca, Bivalvia, Mytilida, Mytilidae. The transcript has 2 exons. The record is from RefSeq and is a predicted model, not a curated record.
CUUCAAAUUUGAGUAAACAACACAGCAUACAAGUGUUAAAAUCCUGUGAAUCAGAUUUACACUCAAUUAUACAUGUACAUCUAGGUGGUCUCUACGGAGUUAUUUAUGAUUUAAUUUGGCUAAAAAAAUGUCUGAUGAUAAUGAGGUACAUGAUUCAGACAAUGGAUUCUUCCACAGACUAUGCCAUAGAUUAGGACGUUGUCCAGAAAACUGCCAACAGUUAGGCAGAUAUGUGUGUAGUUGUGUGUUUUGUUUACCAUGCAGUGACUGUAUAUUUAAUAUGUGCUACAAGUACAACUGUAAGAAAUGUUGUUCUUCUAAACAGGAUACAAAACAUGAACAUGAAAUUGAAGUUGGUACAAAAACUGAAAGUGGAGAUGAAAGUUCUGAUGUAGAAUCUGUGAAAAGUGAAGAGGACACUAGAACUGCCAAAAGUAAUCCAAAUAUAAUCUGGACAGUAGAAGAUUUUUCAACUUCAACUCCAGAUACACACAUACCACGACAUGCAAGAACAAAAUCAAUGCCAAUGUCAAAAUCAUUGAGCGACUUGAAGCGUAACAACUUUAAGAACAUGACAAUAAGUUCAGACAGAAAUCUAAGUGCACACUCACUUUCAGUAGGAAGGUUAAAUGCAACAACUAGUGUAACAUCUCUAGAAAAUAUAUUUGUAACUGAAGGAUAUCGUCAAACUGCAGUGUAAAACUGAUCAUGGAAAUAAAUCAUCUUUCUUCUUA